UAAGCACCGGCUAACUUUGUGCCAGCAGCCGCGGUAAUACGGGAGCCAGCAGCCGCGGUAAUACGGGAGCCAGCAGCCGCGGUAUAAGCACCGGCUAACUUUGUGCCAGCAGCCGCGGUAAUACGGGAGCCAGCAGCCGCGGUAAUACGGGAGCCAGCAGCCGCGGUA
This 168-nucleotide unclassified non-coding RNA is filed under the name uncultured Pseudomonas sp. RNAcentral describes it as "contains 16S-23S intergenic spacer region". The record is from RNAcentral. Lineage: Bacteria; Pseudomonadati; Pseudomonadota; Gammaproteobacteria; Pseudomonadales; Pseudomonadaceae.